RNAcentral lists this long non-coding RNA (232 nucleotides) under Cicer arietinum (chickpea). RNAcentral's name for it is "long non-coding RNA (CARI_LNC002906)". The record is from RNAcentral. Lineage: Eukaryota; Viridiplantae; Streptophyta; Magnoliopsida; Fabales; Fabaceae.
UUUAAGUCUCUCAAAUGUGAAUGUUAAGCACCUCCAACCAGUAUCCAGAAUUAAAAAGGAUGGUGAACUACCAAUAUGUAGCUGAAGUCUCUGGAGAGAGGUGAGAUUGUGAAGAAAACGUUCAAGAGGUAAGAGAUGUACUGUUGUCGAUGAAGACAAGUUCUUCCGUGAGAUGAAGGGAAAGACGGAAGAAGAGAAAGUUGAAUGAGGUGAAGAGAGGGUUGAGAGUGGA